This 212-nucleotide ribosomal RNA is filed under the name uncultured bacterium. Its description in RNAcentral is "partial 16S ribosomal RNA". It matches the Rfam family "Bacterial small subunit ribosomal RNA", at positions 524 to 733 of the family's 1533-position model. The record is from RNAcentral.
CACGUAGGGGGCGAGCGUUGUCCGGAUUUAUUGGGCGUAAAGAGCUCGUAGGCGGCUCGGUAAGUCGGGUGUGAAAACUCUAGGCUCAACCUAGAGACGCCACCCGAUACUGCUGUGGCUAGAGUCCGGUAGGGGAGCAUGGAAUUCCUGGUGUAGCGGUGAAAUGCGCAGAUAUCAGGAGGAACACCAGUGGCGGAAGGCGGUGGUCUGGG